Molecule: long non-coding RNA, 213 nt
Organism: Poecilia latipinna (sailfin molly)
Lineage: Eukaryota; Metazoa; Chordata; Actinopteri; Cyprinodontiformes; Poeciliidae
Exons: 4
Source: RefSeq, a predicted model, not a curated record
UCUGUCUGUCUUCUGCACAUCAAACAGUGUCCUUAUAUACUGUUGUCCCCACCUUCUCUAUUAACUGCCCAGCCAAUCAAACUCCAGCAAACAUGGCCAUUUCUAUAAAAGAGCUGGGUUUGAGGCGGGCCUCCUCUUUGGUAGGUUCCAAGAUGGCCGCUACAAGGACACACCCAAAAGGUAACAAACAUUUCACAAACAAAAGGAUCACAU